Molecule: long non-coding RNA, 808 nt
Organism: Notothenia coriiceps (black rockcod)
Lineage: Eukaryota; Metazoa; Chordata; Actinopteri; Perciformes; Nototheniidae
Exons: 5
Source: RefSeq, a predicted model, not a curated record
UAUGUUUUGAAUUUUGUGUAGAUUAAAUGAACUUUGACUCUUCUUGUUCAGUUCUUGGAUUUUAAGGAAACACAAAAUAAGAAAACGUUCACUCCCCCCAUUCAGGACUUACGGGGGUUGGGGUUGUAUUGCAGCGCGACCACAAACUAAAACAAAUUGAAGUUCCACAGUGUUCUCCUGUCCUGCAACUCAGCCGGGCAUUGACUAUUAAUCAAGUACCAGUCGGUGAACGUCAGCACCAAUCUGUAUGUGAUCAGUCAGCCGUGGCUCUACACUUUGGCCUGGUGUUCCGGAGCUCAGUCUGUAACCACCAACUCCAUCCACAUCCUGUCCAGCAUCAACAAGCCGCUCUUCCUCAUGACUCAAGAGGAAUACAAUUUGAUGUGGAUUCUGACUGAUGCUAUGUCUGCCCUGCUCAUCAUAGCAGUUUUCAUAUUCCAUUGGUGGAGAGAGAGAGGCCUGCCCUGGUCCGGCAGCCGACAGACACAUGAGAAUGGAACGUACAGCAAGUUCAGGACAGACUCCUCAGAGGUCAUCUGUUUUCGCUGGAGCCCCCUCCACUCUGACCCCCCUGCUGGAGCCCUGGUCUCCCUCCCUUUGGUCUUCAACCCAUGACCCCCUGCAUGACCCCCUGCAUGGCGCCUCAGGGGAACCUUGUAUGAACUCUGAACUUUGUCUGAACUGUACAAGCUGCUACUCUUACUGUAGGAGAGUAGCACCCUCUCUGAAGCCCACACAGAGACCUGUGGGAUUUAAACAACUGAGAGGAUCAAGAACUACAGAAACUGUUGUAGAAAAACCCUCCAUU